GGUUCUAUGGUGUAAUGGUUAGCACGCUGGACUCUGAAUCCAGCAAUGUGAGUUCAAAUCUCGGUAGGACAU
RNAcentral lists this transfer RNA (72 nucleotides) under Danionella translucida. It matches the Rfam family "tRNA". From Rfam's summary of the family: Transfer RNA (tRNA) molecules are approximately 80 nucleotides in length. Their secondary structure includes four short double-helical elements and three loops (D, anti-codon, and T loops). Further hydrogen bonds mediate the characteristic L-shaped molecular structure. tRNAs have two regions of fundamental functional importance: the anti-codon, which is responsible for specific mRNA codon recognition, and the 3' end, to which the tRNAs corresponding amino acid is attached (by aminoacyl-tRNA synthetases). tRNAs cope with the degeneracy of the genetic code in two manners: having more than one tRNA (with a specific anti-codon) for a particular amino acid; and 'wobble' base-pairing, i.e. permitting non-standard base-pairing at the 3rd anti-codon position. The record is from Rfam by way of RNAcentral. RNAcentral also lists the same sequence under 1 other name. Lineage: Eukaryota; Metazoa; Chordata; Actinopteri; Cypriniformes; Danionidae.